RNAcentral lists this transfer RNA (71 nucleotides) under Dehalococcoidia bacterium. RNAcentral describes it as "tRNA-Pro". It matches the Rfam family "tRNA". From Rfam's summary of the family: Transfer RNA (tRNA) molecules are approximately 80 nucleotides in length. Lineage: Bacteria; Bacillati; Chloroflexota; Dehalococcoidia. The record is from RNAcentral.
UGGGGCGCAAUGGCUAGCGCGCUUCGUUCGGGACGAAGAGGCUGGUGGUUCGAGUCCACUCACCCCGACCA